AGAGCGAACGCUGGCGGCAGGCCUAACACAUGCAAGUCGAGCGCCCGUAGCAAUACGGGAGCGGCAGACGGGAUAGUAACACGUGGGAACGCGCCCUUCGGUUCGGAAUAACUCAGGGAAACUUGAGCUAAUACCGAAUACGCCCUUACGGGGAAAGAUUUAUUGCCGAAGGAACGGCCCGCGUCCGAUUAGCUAGUUGGUGAGGUAAUGGCUCACCAAGGCUACGAUCGGUAGCUGGUCUGAGAGGAUGACCAGCAUCACUGGGACUGAGACACGGCCCAGACUCCUACGGGAGGCAGCAGUGGGGAAUAUUGGACAAUGGGCGCAAGCCUGAUCCAGCCAUGCCGCGUGGAUGAUGAAGGCCUUAGGGUUGUAAAGUCCUUUUAACGGGGAAGUAUAAUGACGGUACCCGUAGAACUAAGCCCGGCUAACUUCGUGCCAGCAGCCGC
RNAcentral lists this ribosomal RNA (449 nucleotides) under uncultured bacterium. RNAcentral's name for it is "SSU rRNA". It matches the Rfam family "Bacterial small subunit ribosomal RNA", at positions 26 to 518 of the family's 1533-position model. The record is from RNAcentral.